This 1489-nucleotide ribosomal RNA is filed under the name metagenome. Its description in RNAcentral is "bacterial SSU rRNA". It matches the Rfam family "Bacterial small subunit ribosomal RNA". The record is from RNAcentral.
AGAGUUUGAUCCUGGCUCAGGAUGAACGCUAGCGGCAGGCCUAAUACAUGCAAGUCGAACGGUAAAUAUUUAGCAAUAAAUAUGAGAGUGACGUACGGGUGCGUAACACGUAUGCAACCUACCCUUUACAGGCGGAUAGCUCGGGGAAACUCGAAUUAACCCGCCGUAAUAUAAUUGGAUGGCAUCAUCUGGUUAUUAAAUCUACGGAGGUAAAGGAUGGGCAUGCGUCUGAUUAGUUAGUUGGCGGGGUAACGGCCCACCAAGACGAUGAUCAGUAGGGGAACUGAGAGGUUGAUCCCCCACACUGGCACUGAGAUACGGGCCAGACUCCUACGGGAGGCAGCAGUAGGGAAUAUUGGUCAAUGGAUGGAAGUCUGAACCAGCCAUGCCGCGUGCAGGAAGAAGGCCUUCUGGGUUGUAAACUGCUUUUGCCAGGGGAUAAAAUGACCAUGCGAGGUUAAUUGAAGGUACCUGGUGAAUAAGCCACGGCUAACUACGUGCCAGCAGCCGCGGUAAUACGUAGGUGGCAAGCGUUGUCCGGAUUUAUUGGGUUUAAAGGGUGCGUAGGCGGCUUAUUAAGUCAGUGGUGAAAUACUCUAGCUCAACUAGAGGGGUGCCAUUGAUACUGAUGAGCUUGAGUACAGAUGAGGUAGGCGGAAUUGACGGUGUAGCGGUGAAAUGCUUAGAUAUCGUCAAGAACACCUAUAGCGAAGGCAGCUUACUAGGCUGUAACUGACGCUGAGGCACGAAAGUGUGGGGAUCAAACAGGAUUAGAUACCCUGGUAGUCCACGCCCUAAACGAUGUCAACUGGUUGUUGGGUCUUCACUGACUCAGUAACGAAGCUAACGCGUGAAGUUGACCGCCUGGGGAGUACGGCCGCAAGGUUGAAACUCAAAGGAAUUGACGGGGACCCGCACAAGCGGUGGAUGAUGUGGUUUAAUUCGAUGCAACGCGAAAAACCUUACCCACCUUUGACAUGUACGGAAUUUGCCAGAGAUGGCUUAGUGCUCGAAAGAGAGCCGUAACACAGGUGCUGCAUGGCUGUCGUCAGCUCGUGUCGUGAGAUGUUGGGUUAAGUCCCGCAACGAGCGCAACCCUUGUCAUUAGUUGCUACAUUUAGUUGGGCACUCUAAUGAGACUGCCGGUGAUAAACCGGAGGAAGGUGGGGAUGACGUCAAGUCCUCAUGGCCCUUAUAGGUGGGGCUACACACGUCAUACAAUGGCUGGUACAAAGGGUUGCCAACCCGCGAGGGGGAGCUAAUCCCAUAAAACCAGUCGUAGUCCGGAUCGCAGUCUGCAACUCGACUGCGUGAAGUCGGAAUCGCUAGUAAUCGUGGAUCAGAAUGUCACGGUGAAUACGUUCCCGGGUCUUGUACACACCGCCCGUCACACCAUGGGAGCGGGUUCUGCCAGAAGUAGUUAGCCUAACCGCAAGGAGGGCGAUUACCACGGCAGGGUUCGUGACUGGGGUGAAGUCGUAACAAGGUA